Molecule: ribosomal RNA, 739 nt
Filed under: uncultured bacterium
Lineage: Bacteria
Description: bacterial SSU rRNA
Rfam family: Bacterial small subunit ribosomal RNA
Source: RNAcentral
CAGUCGAACGAGAAACCCCGGCUUGCCGGGGGAGUAAAGUGGCGCACGGGUGAGUAACGCGUGGGUAAUCUACCCUCGAAUUGGGGAUAACACAUCGAAAGGUGUGCUAAUACCGGAUAAGACCACGGUGGCUUCGGCCAUUGGGGUCAAAGAUGGCCUCUGUUUACAAGCUGUCGUUUGAGGAUGAGCCCGCGUCCCAUUAGCUUGUUGGUGGGGUAAGAGCCCACCAAGGCAACGAUGGGUAGCUGGUCUGAGAGGAUGGCCAGCCACACUGGAACUGGAACACGGUCCAGACUCCUACGGGAGGCAGCAGUGAGGAAUUUUGCGCAAUGGGGGCAACCCUGACGCAGCAACGCCGCGUGAGUGAAGAAGGCCUUCGGGUUGUAAAGCUCUGUCAAGCGGGAAGAAACUUUUUCGAAUGAACAAUUCGAGAAAUUGACGGUACCGCUGAAGGAAGCACCGGCUAACUCCGUGCCAGCAGCCGCGGUAAUACGGAGGGUGCAAGCGUUAUUCGGAUUUAUUGGGCGUAAAGGGCGUGUAGGCGGUUUGACAAGUCAGGUGUGAAAGCCCUUGGCUUAACCAAGGAAGUGCACUUGAAACUGUCAGACUUGAGUACGGGAGGGGGAAGUGGAAUUCCAGGUGUAGAGGUGAAAUUCGUAGAUAUCUGGAGGAAUACCGGUGGCGAAGGCGACUUCCUGGACCGAUACUGACGCUGAGACGCGAAAGCGUGGGGAGCAAA